This 915-nucleotide unclassified non-coding RNA is filed under the name Limulus polyphemus (Atlantic horseshoe crab). RNAcentral's name for it is "cap-specific mRNA (nucleoside-2'-O-)- methyltransferase 1-like, transcript variant X2". Lineage: Eukaryota; Metazoa; Arthropoda; Merostomata; Xiphosura; Limulidae. The record is from RNAcentral.
GCUUGGAAAACGGCAGAUGCUUAACUUAGCCAAAAUCAGGGCUUUUGCUCAGAAUGCUGAUUUAUAUGAAGAGAGACAGAGUGAUUUAAGAAAAGAAUGCUUGAAACUCUGGAAGAUUCCGGACAGAGCCCGCUCUGCCCCUAGCAAGCCAGAUCCAAAAUCUAAGUUUUUCGAAUUGAUGAAGGGUGAAAGUUCUGAUUACAUGAACUUCAAAGCAGAAGAAUUGACACAAGAGAAGUUAAAGGCUAUAACAAGUGUUUAUGAUUAUUACUGUAUUGUUUUGGGUAUGGAGACAAAUAGCCAAUCCCAUACCUGUUUCAUCUUAAGCUUGGGGAGAAACCACAUCUUCUGGAAAGAACCAACUACCCUAGGGGGUCGCUGGAUCAAACUGGAUCUGAAAAUGGAUCUUCCUGCAAAUACCCUCUUAUUUGCUGAGCUUAUUCAGGAAUUAAAUGGGGAGGGUCGAGCUCAGCGCCGAUUUAAAGCUGUACAUAUAUUGGAUGCCAUAUGCCUUGGUGGAGAUGAUGUCAGAGCCCUCUCUUUUAUGGAAAGGGUUAACUAUGUCCAGAAAUUUGUGAAGGCAGUAUCUAAACCGAGCAUACCGAACUUGACGCCGAUCAAAACAAAAGAAAUUGUUCCAUUGAAAGAAGUAGAUCAAGUGUUUGAUCAAUCCAUGGACCAUAGCGUAUAGCAAAACAAAUCAGCGAACAUAUUUUUUCAACACCAAAACUAGAACCUCAGUUUUUGAUGGACCUAGUGAAGCUGUCUCUUCAUUCAGGUCAUGUUACAUCAGUCGAAUAUUCUGGUCAUGGGAUUCUGGUGUUAAACUAGUGGAUGGUCAUACUGCUGCAUCUGGUAAGGUUCAUAGACACACAAUAACUGAUUUUGUUGACCAUGCCUUGGGACGAUGACUUU